GAUGAACGCUGACAGAAUGCUUAACACAUGCAAGUCUUUGGCGAAGCUGUGCUUGCACAGCCUAGCCAAGGCGGACGGGUGAGUAACGCGUAAGGAACUUGCCCUGCAGUCAGGGAUAACAGACGGAAACGACUGAUAAGACCUGGUAAAGUCAGGCGGACUCAUGUCCAGCCUGAUGAAAAGAGAUGCUGCAGGAGAGCCUUGCGUCCUAUUAGCUUGUUGGUGGGGUAACGGCCCACCAAGGCGAUGAUAGGUAGCCGGCCUGAGAGGGUGGACGGCCACAAGGGGACUGAGAUACGGCCCUUACUCCUACGGGAGGCAGCAGUGGGGAAUAUUGGACAAUGGGGGCAACCCUGAUCCAGCAAUUCUGUGUGCACGAUGAAGGUUUUCGGAUUGUAAAGUGCCUUCAGCAGGGAAGAAAAAAAUGACGGUACCUGCAGAAGAAGCGACGGCUAAAUACGUG
RNAcentral lists this ribosomal RNA (463 nucleotides) under uncultured bacterium. RNAcentral's name for it is "partial 16S ribosomal RNA". It matches the Rfam family "Bacterial small subunit ribosomal RNA", at positions 28 to 507 of the family's 1533-position model. The record is from RNAcentral.